Molecule: long non-coding RNA, 604 nt
Organism: Oreochromis niloticus (Nile tilapia)
Lineage: Eukaryota; Metazoa; Chordata; Actinopteri; Cichliformes; Cichlidae
Exons: 3
Source: RefSeq, a predicted model, not a curated record
AUGAAAGUUGAGGCACACAACGAUGUGUGCUGCUGGUAAAGUUUCUGGGAUGCUUUUCCUCAUAACAGCCAUCCCUCAAGAUUCUCUCCAUUUAAUGCAAUGCAUUGUCAGGGAUUGUAAUAUCUAGUCCUUUUACUGAAUCAGAAUAUAUAUAUAUAUACAUAUUAUAACACAGCUUUUGUCAUGAUCUGGAGGUAUGACUGAAAAAUCCCAUCAGGCAGCUGAGUUCCCUUGGUCUCCACCCCUGGGUGGAGCCAUCAUCUCUCCUGCAGUCCUGCAUACCUGAAGCUGAUAUUCUGGGUGAUCAGGUUGAGGAUUUAAGCGUGAUGCAGACUCUCCUUCACUGCCAGUUUGACAGCGACCUCGUGCUGCUUUUCUUGGACUACCUCUCCAUUGUGGAAAAUACCAUGAACCUCACCUUCCUGCUCUCCAGCCAUCUCUCACCACCCCGGACGCAGUGAACUCAGACGUACCCACUUCGUUCCAGUCGCACCUGUUAAUUCCCAGUUUUCCCUUAUUGACCCACGGCCACGUCACUAUGCCACCCACACCCUGCUCUAGUAACACUUUGCUAUGUAUUAAUCUCUGUUUUCUUAAAUAAACA